Non-coding RNA from Kwoniella heveanensis BCC8398, 100 nucleotides. The record is from the annotation of a GenBank genome assembly. Lineage: Eukaryota; Fungi; Basidiomycota; Tremellomycetes; Tremellales; Cryptococcaceae.
GCCUUCUUAGUUCAGUGGUUUAGAAUUUGUCACUAGUAGUCUCGGAUCUUGCGAUUCGGUUGCUAUGACAGGGUCACCUGUUCGAUUCAGGUAGAAGGCA